GGAUCUGUGAUGCCAUUGAUGGAACUUCUUCUGUGAAUGGAACACUUACCAAAAUAGCUGCAGGUGUAUUUGCUUACAGAGGGAAUGUAUCCUGUUAUAUUAAUGAGCCCAGAAAUGAAACAGAAACUGAUGUAGGAUGGAGAUGGCAGUCAUGCAGUGAGAUGGUGAUGCCAAUAAGUUCAGAUGAUGAUAUGUUUCCACCGUACCCUUUUGACCUUGGAAGUUUCAUCAGUU
This 234-nucleotide unclassified non-coding RNA is filed under the name Hevea brasiliensis (rubber tree). The record is from RNAcentral. Lineage: Eukaryota; Viridiplantae; Streptophyta; Magnoliopsida; Malpighiales; Euphorbiaceae.